Molecule: ribosomal RNA, 497 nt
Filed under: uncultured bacterium
Lineage: Bacteria
Description: partial 16S ribosomal RNA
Rfam family: Bacterial small subunit ribosomal RNA
Source: RNAcentral
GAUGAACGCUGGCGGCGUGCCUAAUACAUGCAAGUCGAGCGAACGGACGAGAAGCUUGCUUCUCUGAUGUUAGCGGCGGACGUGUGAGUAACACGUGGAUAACCUACCUAUAAGACUGGGAUAACUUCGGGAAACCGGAGCUAAUACUGGAUAAUAUUUUGAACCGCAUGGUUCAAAAGUGAAAGACGGUCUUGCUGUCACUUAUAGAUGGAUCCGCGCUGCAUUAGCUAGUUGGUAAGGUAACGGCUUACCAAGGCAACGAUGCAUAGCCGACCUGAGAGGGUGAUAGGCCACACUGGAAGUGGGACACGGUCCAGACGCCUACGGGAGGGAGCAGUAGGGAAUCGUCCGCAAUGGGCGAAAGCCUGACGGAGCAACGCCGAGUGAGUGAUGAAGGUCUUCGGAUCGUAAAACUCGGUUAUUAGGGAAGAACAUAUGUGUAAGUAACUGUGCACAGCUUGACGGUACCGAAUCAGAAAGCCACGGCUAACUACGUG